This 505-nucleotide ribosomal RNA is filed under the name Skermanella rosea. Its description in RNAcentral is "bacterial SSU rRNA". It matches the Rfam family "Bacterial small subunit ribosomal RNA", at positions 394 to 916 of the family's 1533-position model. Lineage: Bacteria; Pseudomonadati; Pseudomonadota; Alphaproteobacteria; Rhodospirillales; Azospirillaceae. The record is from RNAcentral.
AUGCCGCGUGAGUGAUGAAGGCCUUCGGGUUGUAAAGCUCUUUCGCACGCGACGAUGAUGACGGUAGCGUGAGAAGAAGCCCCGGCUAACUUCGUGCCAGCAGCCGCGGUAAUACGAAGGGGGCUAGCGUUGUUCGGAAUUACUGGGCGUAAAGGGCGCGUAGGCGGUGUGUCAAGUCAGGCGUGAAAGCCCCGGGCUCAACCUGGGAACAGCGCUUGAGACUGGCACGCUCGAGUUCGGGAGAGGAUGGUGGAAUUCCCAGUGUAGAGGUGAAAUUCGUAGAUAUUGGGAAGAACACCGAUGGCGAAGGCAGCCAUCUGGACCGACACUGACGCUGAGGCGCGAAAGCGUGGGGAGCAAACAGGAUUAGAUACCCUGGUAGUCCACGCCGUAAACGAUGAGUGCUAGACGUCGGGAUCCUUAGGAUUUCGGUGUCGCAGCUAACGCAUUAAGCACUCCGCCUGGGGAGUACGGCCGCAAGGUUAAAACUCAAAUGAAUUGACGG